Molecule: ribosomal RNA, 241 nt
Filed under: uncultured bacterium
Lineage: Bacteria
Description: partial 16S ribosomal RNA
Rfam family: Bacterial small subunit ribosomal RNA
Source: RNAcentral
UGGGGAAUAUUGCACAAUGGGCGCAAGCCUGAUGCAGCAACGCCGCGUGAGGGACGACGGCCUUCGGGUUGUAAACCUCUUUUAGCAGGGAAGAAGCGAAAGUGACGGUACCUGCAGAAAAAGCGCCGGCUAACUACGUGCCAGCAGCCGCGGUAAUACGUAGGGCGCAAGCGUUAUCCGGAAUUAUUGGGCGUAAAGAGCUCGUAGGCGGUCUGUCGCGUCUGCUGUGAAAACCCGGGCU